UUUAGCGGCAAUAGAACAAUAUUCACACCAGUUUCCGAUGGAUCAUUGUAGUUCAACGUUGUAUGUGGUUGGUAUUCGGACGAGUGACCAUAUGGGAAAACACGCUCUGCUGCCAAGU
This 118-nucleotide ribosomal RNA is filed under the name Diaphorina citri (Asian citrus psyllid). The record is from RNAcentral. Lineage: Eukaryota; Metazoa; Arthropoda; Insecta; Hemiptera; Psyllidae.